AUUUUCUUUAAAUUUAAAGAAUUUGGCGGUAAUUUAGUCUAGUCAGAGGAACCUGCUUUAUUUAAUCGAUAAAACACGUAAAAUCUUACUUAUUUUUAUUUAGUUUGUAUACCAUCAUUAGCAGAUAAUUUUAUAAAAAAGAAAUUGUUAAAUUUAAUUAUUAUUAGGGAAAUUAGAUCAAGGUGCAGCUUAUGAAUAAGGUGAAGUGGGUUACAAUAAGAUAUACUUAAACGGAAUGAGAUUAGUUAGCUGCUUAUGAAGGAGGAUUUGAUUGUAAUAUGAGUUUAAUAUGCUUAGG
RNAcentral lists this ribosomal RNA (298 nucleotides) under Potamonautes sp. 1 SRD-2011. Its description in RNAcentral is "partial 12S ribosomal RNA". Lineage: Eukaryota; Metazoa; Arthropoda; Malacostraca; Decapoda; Potamonautidae. The record is from RNAcentral.